CUGAAGAGUUUGAUCAUGGCUCAGAUUGAACGCUGGCGGCAGGCCUAACACAUGCAAGUCGAGCGGAAACGAUCCUAGCUUGCUAGGAGGCGUCGAGCGGCGGACGGGUGAGUAACACGUGAGAAUCUGCCCAUUAGUGGGGGAUAACCUGGGGAAACCCAGGCUAAUACCGCAUAAUCCCUACGGGGGAAAGCAGGGGAUCUUCGGACCUUGCGCUAUUGGAUGAGCCUAAGUCGGAUUAGCUAGUUGGUGGGGUAAAGGCCUACCAAGGCGACGAUCCGUAGCUGGUCUGAGAGGAUGAUCAGCCACAUCGGGACUGAGACACGGCCCGAACUCCUACGGGAGGCAGCAGUG
This 354-nucleotide ribosomal RNA is filed under the name Ostreococcus sp. 'lucimarinus'. RNAcentral describes it as "partial Bacterial small subunit ribosomal RNA". It matches the Rfam family "Bacterial small subunit ribosomal RNA", at positions 1 to 356 of the family's 1533-position model. The record is from RNAcentral. Lineage: Eukaryota; Viridiplantae; Chlorophyta; Mamiellophyceae; Mamiellales; Bathycoccaceae.